This 323-nucleotide ribosomal RNA is filed under the name Lottia antillarum. RNAcentral describes it as "partial 12S ribosomal RNA". Lineage: Eukaryota; Metazoa; Mollusca; Gastropoda; Lottiidae. The record is from RNAcentral.
GCACUAAUCCACCCAGGGGAACCUGGCCCUUAAUUCGAUAAUCCACGAAACCCUUACCCCUUUUAGUUUAUUGGACCUCCUCGGGAAAUAAGUUCAGCUCGCAUACCGCCGUUUCGCAGCCUGUAUUGUGAAAGCCAAAAAACAGGCGCAAUAGUAACAGCCCGGCCUGUAGUACUGCCAAUUCAGGUAAACGUGCGGCCAAUAAAGGGGGGGAGCUGGGUUACAAUUCAGGGUUGCACUGGAACUAAACUCUCGCGCUUAGUGAAAGAGGACUUGGAAGUAAUCCCUCCCCCUGGAGGGGUGAAUAGUGCUCUAGUGUGUGU